This is a long non-coding RNA of Triticum dicoccoides, 1435 nucleotides long. RefSeq lists it as uncharacterized. NCBI's taxonomy places the organism in Eukaryota, Viridiplantae, Streptophyta, Magnoliopsida, Poales, Poaceae. The record is from RefSeq and is a predicted model, not a curated record. The transcript is spliced from 3 exons.
CCCAUCCGGCCGCCUCCUCCAUGGCGACUGGCUCCCAUCCGGCCGCCUCCUCCAUGGCGAGAACCGUGUCCAGAGGAGGACCAUCACGACCAUGAGUUCCCCGUCGUCGUCUCUCUCCGUGCUUAACCGGUGUGCUGAAACCUCUCCUAAGCUUCGCCUGCUGCUACCCCGACACAGCAGCAUGGAUCUGACGUCUCCCGGCCGUCCCGAAGCGGCGGCCCAUGGGAUCCGAGCGAAGAAGAGGCCUCGCGAUAUGAUGGCCUUGGUUCUCCUCUUAUGCAGGCUAGAUCUUGUUGGCCUCAAGCAGCACCACCAACAGGAUCCAGGCGAGCAUGCGGCUGCUCCUCCACCAUCAUGUGACGCGUGUAGUGGCCGUUCACCGGGAGAGACCCAGCUCCACGAUCACCACCACUCACUUGAUGUGCAUGUCCACACGCCAUCGACAAGUCGACCCGCGAAAGAAGCUGGCCCUACCGAUCAGGAUGACAUCGAUGAGGAGGAAGCAAUGGUGUGACGUCAUGGAUCCCACCUGUAAGUGCGUGAGUGUGUGGCUACAGUUUUCUACAAUAUUGUGAAAACCACGAUGUGUUUGGCAGUCACAGUAUUUGCCACUAUAUUUGGUGAUCCGGUCAUCAAUAUGUUCAUGUUCUACAACCCUAUCGGCCCCGGGCAAAGAAUCACACACUUUAUCAUAGGCGAGGACUGGUCGUGGCUAUAUGCAAGUGUGGUCGCUGACACCCAGGCAGGCUCAACGUAUCGCAUGCAUACACGGGCUCUUUUCUUCAUACUAUGCACCUUGAAUUCUGUGAGAUAUACACGUACAUUGCUCCCAAGUACAUUGCUCCCAAGUCAUAUAGAGAUGAGUAAGAGAAGAAAAAUGAAUGUGCCCCUGUUUACAUCAAGAGAAUGUACCCCAUAUAAGGACCUAACAAACACAACUAUGGAUGGUAGUGCUAAUAUCCCACAUAAUCAAACAGACGAUCCUAAAAGGAAAAGUGUUCAAUCAUGGUAUGACAAUGUCGGAUGAGAAGAAAGCGGAAUACAACGCGAAGUGUCAUAUAUCCUGACAACAAACGAGAGUUGCAGCUCUAGACUGUCUUAACCAGGACCAAUUAUCACAAACAUGUGUUUCUCCGUUAGACUGUGCUAUGGUUCAUCUCUACAACAGUUUCCCUAUCUAACAUCAUGUGUAUCUAAGUGCAGCUUCUGGUCAGGCCCCACUUGUUUCUGGCGAUCCCAGGUUCCAGUCAAAUGCAAUAGGAUAUGUAAUGCUUAUUUGUCACAUUCAUUCAUUAUGUACUAACUCUUCUCUCCUGUGACGGUAAUGUGUCACAAAUUCAUCAAAAAAUGUGCCACUCCCUCUGAUGCUCCCUCAUGGUGCUAGAAAAACUCCCAGGUCAGAAAAAUUAUCACGGUUGCUUCAACAUUUAUCUCU